GCCUCCCACCCACCCUUCCAGCCCCAGUCCUAAAAGAGCCAUAAUUUACUUCCAAGUAUACUUUUCUGAUCUUUUCCUGUAACACAUUAUGAUAUCUUGAAAUGAUGCUGGGUUUCCUGAGGCUUGUGCUGCUGACCGCCAACCCCACCCUGAGCGACAGAUACUGUAAACAUCCUACACUCUCAGCUGUGGAAAGUAAGAAAGCUGGGAGAAGGCUGUUUACUCUCUCUGCCUUGGAAAUCAACUAAAGAGAAAUGGAUUUGGAGUAUUUUUAUAUGUGUCUUGUAAUUAAUCCUAUCCAGUAUUUAUUUAUGAGGUCAACUCCAGAAGGAAAAAAAGUAAAUUGACUGAGUCAUACUAACAAAUAUACAAUAAUUUGUACGACCAGUUCUCCUUGAUCUGUCU
RNAcentral lists this long non-coding RNA (405 nucleotides) under Lynx pardinus (Iberian lynx). The stretch from base 157 to 232 matches the Rfam family "mir-30 microRNA precursor family". The record is from RNAcentral. Lineage: Eukaryota; Metazoa; Chordata; Mammalia; Carnivora; Felidae.